Aquila chrysaetos chrysaetos is the source of this 5760-nucleotide long non-coding RNA. RefSeq lists it as uncharacterized. The record is from RefSeq and is a predicted model, not a curated record. The transcript is spliced from 2 exons. Lineage: Eukaryota; Metazoa; Chordata; Aves; Accipitriformes; Accipitridae.
CCAAGGCAGGCUGGCUGGGCAGGGGUGAAAGGGUUAUAGCUUGGGGCCAGCAUGCAGUUACACCCAAACACGGAGCUACAGCCCGUGUCCCCCACCCUGAGCACAGCAUGACGUUACGUAGCUGUUAACCCACUAACCCUUGGCCCCUUGACUCACUGGCCUACGCAAACAAUAGGCUGGCCCUGCGCAGUGGGGAAACGAUGCGGAUUGCUGCCCCGACAGGCGCCGCGAGCAUUAAUUACCUGUGGCUGACAAGGGAGGUCUUUAAGAUUGCUGUUGGGUCUGUGGCAGCGCCUCGGAUCGAGAGCUGGGGCCGACUUUGCAGGGCACGGUGUGCGUACGCCAGGUCAAGCAGCUCCCGGCCCAAAGCCGCCUGACAAAACAGCCCUUUGGCUCGGAUGCCUCCCUCCUUGCUGUUGCCAUCACCCGCUCUCCUCUGUGCACAGUCGGUGAUGUCAAGCAACAGAGAGUUCAGAGCGAGGGAGCCGCGGAGAGAACUCUUCCUUGGCUCCUGAUACGAGGCCGUGCAGCUCAGUCCCCUGAGAUACCUGCUCCCUCCACCCCACAGAGGAAACCUGAGGGAAGCUGCAAUUUGGCCCACCGCCAGAAGAUUUGGCCGCGACCGUGGCGCCCCUGGGUCAGCAGGGCGCAGGCAGAGCUUUGUCGUGCCCCGUGAGGAGGGAGCGUGCUCAGCCCCGGCGCGGCGGAGCUCCCGGUGCGAGAUCCGCUCUCCGAAAGCGCGGCCGUCCUCCCCGCCUGCCCCCGACACAGCAGUGCGCUCGCGGUGCGGCGCCGACAGCCAUGAGGCUCUGAAGGCGUUUGGGUGCUGAAGAUGCACUCCCUCUAAUGUCCAGCUGGAUCUUGCCCUGUGCUAAAGCGACUCCCCCGGACUGCAGCGAGAGCACGCCGUUCCCUCGACUGCCUGUGAGUCACCCGCCUGAAAUCACGCCUUAAUACCAUCGUCUUUCCAGUAAACCUACCAGUGAAGGCAGAUGUCGACUGGGAAACCGAACUCCAGGCGUGUGCGGUGUUUGCUGAUCGUCGCCAGUCUGUGCCCCUCACGUAGCAGCUGUGCCUCCAGCGGGGGAGGACGGGGGGGGCUCGGGGCAUCUGCCUUCAUUCUGCGCUGCUCCCACCCGCCUGUGCAGGGCGGGGGUCUCCUGGCAGGGCUGCAGCUCUCGGGCUCUUGUCACUGACCCACCUGUGGAGGACGAAGGUGGACGCGGCUGCCUUGCCUCCAAGCAGUGCUCCUGCAUCCCUUUGGGCUGCAGACUCGUCCCUCUGGGAAAUCUGGCCUGUCUGGCUGUAAGGAUCGAUCCCAAAUCGCUGAAGCUAAAAGAGGUGCAAGGAUUUAAUAUAUAGGGAAAAAACCCCACUCCCCGUUAAAUGCUUUCCUUUGACUGCGGGGUGAACAGGAUCACACAGAGCUUGAGGGCUCAAACCACAAGACAGCAAAAGGGGAGAUCACCAGUGGAUUGGCCACCUCUGGGGUAGCUGUUGUUACAAACGACUUGCUGGAACUGGCUGUGUCACGUUGCGUCAAGGCAAAGCAGUUCAUUUUUCCAGUGCUUUUAUUCUGUUUCUUUUCCAGUUGUUUUGAAACUACUGGAAAAGCGGUUCGAUGCCCCUGGAUUUUGGAAAAUAGUAUUCAUGCACACAGAUGCGGGAGUGCAUAAAGAAGGAACGCUAGAUACUUCUUUUAGUUGUAAGGAUGACUUCAUUUCUGGGGAGAACUGGAGGAUUAUAUGAUGGUUAGUUACAAAAUGCAUAGAAAUUGGUGUGGAACAGUGGGGAAGAUAAUUACGUCUUGCUCUUCUCCACCUUUUCAGCACCGUUUGCUUCAUGCCGAAAUGAAAGGAAAUGCUUUUUUCCCUUCACAAUAAUAUGAAAUAAUUUUCCAGAAACCAUCCUGGCCCAGAUCGCCUUAAGCAGAGUUAUAAAACCGCAUCUGGUUCAGCACACAAUUCACAAGAGAGGGCGGCCAAACUGUACCCUGAUGGCUGGAUGACAUGCCCUUCCUGUGGGGUCCUGCGGCAUGCAAACCCAAAAACUGUGGCCGGCCCCUAAUUUUACAACCCCGCUUCUUGGCCAUGCUCGAAAAUGUGACUUCUUGAAGUUUGCAGCUAAUGCUUCUCUCUGCCAUUAAGAUCUGAUUCCCGAGAAAGGUGGAGGAGGCAGCGGGUGCGGGGGACAGCCGGGGGCUGGUUACCUUCACCUGCAGGCAGCACAGCAGCAUUUCCCAGCUGCUGCUGAUAUUUUUACUCCCAUUUAAUUACUGCCCCAGUUAAUGAGGUUUAUAUCCUCUCCUUCCAUAGCUGUUUCAGAGGGCAUCUGAGGAGCAGGGUAGCAGGGGGCACCUCCACCCGCCGGCAGCGGAGGAAUGUCCUCUGCUGCCAAUGUCACACCUGAGGUGCAACAGCAGCAUCCUGCAUUGUGGGGACAGGAUAAUGUAUUCCUUCCACUUCCUAUUUUUUUUUUUCUUUCUAAACUCAGAACACAGGUGAAAGAGCAAGGGUGAGAGAUUGAAGAGAGACUAAGCCGCGGUAACAUGUAGCAAAGUGCCACGUGGAUCAGUGAAACAGAAAGGACUCUGAAACCAGAACAGUGUGGACGCAGUACAUUAGAAUACAGAAGAAAAGAGUAUUUUAUAUCUAUAGGAGAGGAGUCGAUACAGUAUUUCAGAAGAAAAUUGAGGUAAACCGAUGUAUUUUAGGAGCCACAAAAUUGAAAAGAUGAGAGCGCUAAUAUGUUAGCUGGGAAAUCAGCUGUGUAUCUGAGCCCGCAGCUGGGGAGGAGAUACGAACAGAGCACACAGCUCCCUGCAAGUGCUGCAGGGCUGCAAAGUUUCCCAUCCCCGUGUCCCCAUUCCUCCUGCCAGCGCUGGCUCAGGGGUUUCUUCACGUUGCCUGAACCUGAGCCAUCCCGCUUGCCCACGGCAAGGGGCUCUGCGGACCUGGCGGGUGGGAGCCUUUCCAUCCCUCCUGCCUGGCUGGAGCUGGGACGAAGCCGCAGGGACGAGGAUUUUCCAGCUGGGCUGGGGGUCACCCUGGGAGCUGGGCUGGUGGUUCCUGUCCAGCUGACAGGCUUCUGCAGAAAUAAUUAGCAUGUGGCAGCAUUGCCUCCUAAUCCUUUAAAUAUAACUUAAAAUUACAGCCUAAGGGCUCUGCCUUGCUUUCAGUGGGACUUUGCAGCUGCAGUCAUUAUUAUCCCGCCUAAGAGAACUCAGUUCCUUUUUUCACCCCUUUUGGGGCAUUUGGAGCACGGCCCGUGCCAGCGUCGUCUGCCCAGAAGCUGCCUCAAUUCCUCAGGAAUGAAGCUGACAGUUUUUCAAUGGCUGCUAACAGCCCGCAGAUAACGUAGGUUUGUUCCCUGUUGUUCUUCUUCGAGAGCAGGGCCCCUCAAAGAGCAGACUGAACUCUGUAUCAAGGAGUCAAAGGGUUAAAAUAAUAUUGCCCCAGUGUGUCAUUGCUGACUAAGGUCCUGGGCUUAACAAGACCCCAAAUUGUUCCUGUUCCACUGAUGUAAUUUGUUAUCCUGAAUUUCCCCCUAUUUUAUUAUUUCAGUGUUCCAGUCUCUCAAGUCAUAGCUUCAACAUGUAGUCUUCGGUCGCUCUCUCAAAACCUGGCAGAAAUAUGAGUCUGGAUGAUAAACUAGUUCUGAUCUUGUCUGUAUUUGACAUUGUUCACCUGGCGAGCUGGUUCCCUGCUGAUAGGGGUGCUGAGGCUGAUUCUGUCCCCACCCCAGGUGUCUCUGGCUCGUUCCUUGCUGUUUAGUCAUGUAAGUGGGAAGUGGUGGGAAAUGGUAGUGGUCCCCAAAGGGGGAUAAACACAGGGAAGAAUGACUUGUGCCUAUGUGGUGCGAUCCUCAAGCCGAUACAGAUCGUCAAUAAUCACUGCAAUUUUUACCUGAUUUCAAUCCAGUGUAAUUUAUUAGGACAAGACUCUUUCCUCCUGCGGAAACAAUUUAUAUCCAGUUAUUUCUUAGCUUUUUUCUGUAGUCUUAUAGCUGGCGCAUCUCAGUGUUAGGGUCCCAGUGCUGAGGUGGCUUCAUUGCUACCAGCAGACCAUCAGCAUAAAUGAGGACAGACAGUAUUUUACAAGUAUUUUGUACUAGCUGGCACCAAGCAAUGGAAAGCUGGAAAAAACAAAACCACAGACUAUAGAGCAGAAUGAAUAAAAACAAAAAAAUAAGCUAGGUCCUUUAUUUUUGGAAACUCUCCAACAACCUCUAAUAUGCAUUAGUGAAAUAUCAACUUUCUGCCUUGCAGAAUGAACUAUAAAAUAUUAUAUCUUUAGCCCUGCACAUUUUCAAGUUCCUUGUCCUUUAUUACAGCCACUGGUUUAUUAAAACUGGAAAUGGACCUAGACCAAACCUCUGCCUAUGUCUGAAUGGCAGCAUCCAAACCCUGCAGCUUUUGAAAACUGGUCUCUGAUGUUUAAAACAAAACCAAGCCCAACACAACAGCAAACCACUUCUCAUUUCUCCUCCCAUAGUUCCCUAACCUGAACAAAAAUCCUCGCACCUGGAUGUACAAAGGUAUUAGGUUCAUGGGGUAGCUCCUUGCCUACUAACGUUGAAGGCAAAACGCCCAGUGUGGUUAGCAGUGUCUGAGGAUUUAAACUCAAUCCCGCUUGAAACUCUUCCCAAGCAUAUAUGAUCAAUGAUGAGUUUGAAAGUGUAUUAUUUUUAUUUUUUUUAAGUCCAUUGAUGUGAUUUGUUCUGUUUGUAAGACUAACUGGCAGUAAAAGGUAUUAAUUUCCUAUCACUUUGUUCCAAAUUGUCCUUCCCUUGUCCUUGUGUUUUAUGGUCUCCAUUAAGGAAUGUUGUCCUCUGGAUCGUUUUUAUUGGCUUUGCUUUUUAAUAAUCAGCAUUCGUGCUUAAUACAGCAGUUUUUUGGUAACAAAAUUCAUAGCUUAAAAAAACCAAACCAGCCCCUCUUUCCCUUGGACAGAUUUGAAAUGCGAUUACUUUUAUAAGUUAUAAAUAAAGGCCUGGUAGUUGAUGUUUAGUGGGAAACUCUCCCAGUAUAUUUCAGAGCCCUGUUUUUCAGUCUCCUCCGAUAAGAAAACUGCUGACUUGACAUUUUGGGGAGCGGUGUUUUGUGCUUUGUGUUCCUGCUGUAGCUGCCAGGGGUUAGCAAACCUCCGGGCUGCAACGAGGCCAAACCAGGAGCUGCCUGUGCCGCUGCGCUCCCUGUUAACCGUAACGCCACACUGGUGGGUGCUGGGUUUUGCCCGCGAGCUGCUGGAUCAGGACGAGCUUUGGGCCAUCAGGUUGCUGUCCCCAGGGUCUUGCUCUUGGUGGCACCUCCAGCAAGACCUGGGAGGGGGUCUGUGGCAGCCCUUACCCCCACCUGAGCACCACUGCUCGUACCAGCCCACUGCAGUUUGCCCUCACCAAGAGGUUAGAGACGGUCAUCUGGGACAACACAUAAAGGUGGCUGCUUUUUAUGUUUACAACUCCCUCAGAGAGAGUUUGUUUAGAAAGAGGAACAUGUCUCCCCACUGUUUAUAUGUUGUCAUUUUUUUCCCAUGGUAAGACACUGGGUUAAGUCUCGGGCUUGGAGGAUGUAGCCCCGUCGCUCUGCAGGCUACUGAUGUGGCGGUAGUUUGGGGAGAAAUAGGAAUCUCUAGUGAUAAAUGAAUGGCUUCAACUAAAAACAGCUACUGACAGAUACGGCUGAAUUACUGCAUGGGUUUUGUAAAGCAAAGGGAAGGGUUUGCAGUGAUUAAAAUGGUACCUAUAAGCCUUGAAUUGCCA